RNAcentral lists this ribosomal RNA (164 nucleotides) under uncultured eukaryote. Its description in RNAcentral is "partial 18S ribosomal RNA". It matches the Rfam family "Eukaryotic small subunit ribosomal RNA", at positions 1487 to 1650 of the family's 1831-position model. The record is from RNAcentral.
CCGCACGCGCGCUACACUGACAGAGCCAACGAGUUCAUCACCUUGGCCGAAAGGGUUGGGUAAUCUUGUUAAACUCUGUCGUGCUGGGGAUAGAGCAUUGCAAUUAUUGCUCUUCAACGAGGAAUUCCUAGUAAGCGCAAGUCAUCAGCUUGCGUUGAUUACGU